This 159-nucleotide non-coding RNA is filed under the name chicken gut metagenome. Its description in RNAcentral is "Lysine riboswitch". It matches the Rfam family "Lysine riboswitch aptamer". Rfam says of the family: Riboswitches are metabolite binding domains within certain messenger RNAs that serve as precision sensors for their corresponding targets. The record is from RNAcentral.
CAAUAGAGGCGCGGUACUCAUCAGUAAUCGGAACUACGUUUCAAAGAACGCCGACGAAAGGGAGCAUCGCCGAAGCCGUCCCGAGCGCUUUGGAGCAGGUUCGGCUGGGUAUGACGACGAAAGUCUCAUAACUGUCAUCGUUCGAUGGAGGGCUAUUUG